UACGGAGGGUGCGAGCGUUGCUCGGAAUCACUGGGCGUAAAGCGUACGCAGGCGGAUCGUUAAGUCGGGUGUGAAAGCCCGGGGCUCAACCCCGGAACUGCAUUCGAAACUGGCGGUCUUGAGUACGGGAGAGGGAGGUGGAAUUCCUGGUGUAGAGGUGAAAUUCGUAGAUAUCAGGAGGAACACCGGUGGCGAAAGCGGCCUCCUGGCCCGAUACUGACGCUCAUGUACGAGAGCGUGGGGAGCAAACAGG
RNAcentral lists this ribosomal RNA (253 nucleotides) under uncultured bacterium. RNAcentral's name for it is "partial 16S ribosomal RNA". It matches the Rfam family "Bacterial small subunit ribosomal RNA", at positions 524 to 776 of the family's 1533-position model. The record is from RNAcentral.